GACGAACGCUGGCGGCGUGCCUAAUACAUGCAAGUUGAGCGCUGAAGGUUGGUACUUGUACCGACUGGAUGAGCAGCGAACGGGUGAGUAACGCGUGGGGAAUCUGCCUUUGAGCGGGGGACAACAUUUGGAAACGAAUGCUAAUACCGCAUAAAAACUUUAAACACAAGUUUUAAGUUUGAAAGAUGCAAUUGCAUCACUCAAAGAUGAUCCCGCGUUGUAUUAGCUAGUUGGUGAGGUAAAGGCUCACCAAGGCGAUGAUACAUAGCCGACCUGAGAGGGUGAUCGGCCACAUUGGGACUGAGACACGGCCCAAACUCCUACGGGAGGCAGCAGUAGGGAAUCUUCGGCAAUGGACGAAAGUCUGACCGAGCAACGCCGCGUGAGUGAAGAAGGUUUUCGGAUCGUAAAACUCUGUUGGUAGAGAAGAACGUUGGUGAGAGUGGAAAGCUCAUCAAGUGACGGUAACUACCCAGAAAGGGACGGCUAACUACGUGCCAGCAG
This 504-nucleotide ribosomal RNA is filed under the name uncultured bacterium. RNAcentral's name for it is "bacterial SSU rRNA". It matches the Rfam family "Bacterial small subunit ribosomal RNA", at positions 28 to 514 of the family's 1533-position model. The record is from RNAcentral.